RNAcentral lists this ribosomal RNA (235 nucleotides) under uncultured bacterium. RNAcentral describes it as "partial 16S ribosomal RNA". It matches the Rfam family "Bacterial small subunit ribosomal RNA", at positions 96 to 334 of the family's 1533-position model. The record is from RNAcentral.
UGGCGGACGGGUGAGUAAUGUCUGGGAAACUGCCCGAUGGAGGGGGAUAACUACUGGAAACGGUAGUUAAUACCGCAUAACGUCGCAAGACCAAAGAGGGGGACCUUCGGGCCUCUUGCCAUCGGAUGUGCCCAGAUGGGAUUAGCUAGUAGGUGGGGUAGAGGCUCACCUAGGCGACGAUCCCUAGCUGGUCUGAGAGGAUGACCAGCCACACUGGAACUGAGACACGGUCCAG